AGAGUUUGAUCCUGGCUCAGAAUCAACGCUGGCGGCGUGCCUAACACAUGCAAGUCGCACGAGAAAGGGUAGCAAUACCUGAGUAAAGUGGCGCACGGGUGAGUAACACGUGAAUGAUCUACCUCCGAGUGGGGAAUAACUGAGAGAAAUCUUAGCUAAUACCGCAUAACACUUACGAGUCAAAGCAGCAAUGCGCUUGGAGAGGAGUUCGCGGCCGAUUAGUUAGUUGGCGGGGUAAUGGCCCACCAAGACGAUGAUCGGUAUCCGGCCUGAGAGGGCGCACGGACACACUGGAACUGAAACACGGUCCAGACUCCUACGGGAGGCAGCAGUGGGGAAUUUUGCGCAAUGGGGGAAACCCUGACGCAGCAACGCCGCGUGGAGGAUGAAAUAUCUUGGUAUGUAAACUCCUUUCGAUGGGGAAGAUUAUGACGGUACCCAUAGAAGAAGCCCCGGCUAACUUCGUGCCAGCAGCCGCGGUAAUACGAGGGGGGCAAGCGUUGUUCGGAUUUAUUGGGCGUAAAGGGUGCGUAGGCGGUUUGGCAAGUCUUAUGUGAAAUCUAUGGGCUCAACCCAUAGUCUGCAUAAGAAACUGCCGGGCUUGAGUAUGGGAGAGGUGAGUGGAAUUUCCGGUGUAGCGGUGAAAUGCGUAGAUAUCGGAAGGAACACCUGUGGCGAAAGCGGCUCACUGGACCAUAACUGACGCUGAUGCACGAAAGCUAGGGGAGCAAACAGGAUUAGAUACCCUAGUAGUCC
Molecule: ribosomal RNA, 756 nt
Filed under: uncultured bacterium
Lineage: Bacteria
Description: bacterial SSU rRNA
Rfam family: Bacterial small subunit ribosomal RNA
Source: RNAcentral